RNAcentral lists this ribosomal RNA (207 nucleotides) under uncultured Mesotoga sp. Its description in RNAcentral is "partial 16S ribosomal RNA". It matches the Rfam family "Bacterial small subunit ribosomal RNA", at positions 568 to 774 of the family's 1533-position model. The record is from RNAcentral. Lineage: Bacteria; Thermotogati; Thermotogota; Thermotogae; Kosmotogales; Kosmotogaceae.
AGCGUAGGUGGCCUAACAUGUCAACUGUGAAAACCCGGAGCUCAACUCCGGACUUGCAGUUGAAACUGGUAGGCUUGAGGACGGUAGAGGAAGACGGAACUGACAGUGUAGGGGUAAAAUCCUUAGAUAUUGGCAGGAACGCCGGUGACGAAGGUGGUUUUCUGGGCCGGUUCUGACACUGAUGCUCGAAAGCCAGGGGAGCGAACG